RNAcentral lists this ribosomal RNA (397 nucleotides) under uncultured bacterium. RNAcentral describes it as "bacterial SSU rRNA". It matches the Rfam family "Bacterial small subunit ribosomal RNA", at positions 521 to 916 of the family's 1533-position model. The record is from RNAcentral.
UAAAACGUAGGAGGCGAGCGUUAUCCGGAUUCACUGGGCGUAAAGCGCGUGCAGGUGGUUCGGUAAGUUGGGCGUGAAAUCUCCCGGCUCAACUGGGAGAGGUCGUUCAAUACUACCGGACUUGAGAGCAGAAGAGGAAGAUGGAAUUCCCGGUGUAGUGGUGAAAUGCGUAGAUAUCGGGAGGAACACCAGUGGCGAAGGCGAUCUUCUGGUCUGUUUCUGACACUCAGACGCGACAGCUAGGGUAGUAAACGGGAUUAGAGACCCCGGUAAUCCUAGCCGUAAACGAUGUGAACUUGGCGUUGGUGGGUUAAACUCCAUCAGUGCCGAAGCAAACGCGAUAAGUUCACCGCCUGGGGACUACGGCCGCAAGGUUAAAACUCAAAUGAAUUGACGG